This 272-nucleotide long non-coding RNA is filed under the name Manihot esculenta (cassava). RNAcentral describes it as "long non-coding RNA (MESC_LNC006867)". Lineage: Eukaryota; Viridiplantae; Streptophyta; Magnoliopsida; Malpighiales; Euphorbiaceae. The record is from RNAcentral.
UGCUGGUUUUUCAUGAUAGUUUGGGCAAAUCAACUCAUAGGGAGUUACACUAGCUUUGUGUUUGCAUGUAUUUGUAUUUUUAUUUCCCUUGACCUUAGCACAUUUAAGGAUUCAAUUUAAGAGAAAAACUCCCUAAGUGAAGGUAACAUACUGUGAAUGAUUCAAUUUAGGCUUAAAGGGGUGGCAAAUUAAUGGGGUCAUGAGAUAAGGGUACUCUUUCAACCUUGUUAUCUAUGUUGAGUAAAGCAAUUAGCUACAAAAUUCUGUGUGUG